UACGUAGGGUGCAAGCGUUGUCUGGAAUUAUUGGGCGUAAAGAGCUCGUAGGCGGUUUGUCGCGUCUGCUGUGAAAACUCGGGGCUUAACUCCGGGCCUGCAGUGGGUACGGGCAGACUAGAGUGCGGUAGGGGAGACUGGAAUUCCUGGUGUAGCGGUGAAAUGCGCAGAUAUCAGGAGGAACACCGGUGGCGAAGGCGGGUCUCUGGGCCGUAACUGACGCUGAGGAGCGAAAGCGUGGGGAGCGAACAGG
This 253-nucleotide ribosomal RNA is filed under the name uncultured bacterium. RNAcentral describes it as "partial 16S ribosomal RNA". It matches the Rfam family "Bacterial small subunit ribosomal RNA", at positions 524 to 776 of the family's 1533-position model. The record is from RNAcentral.